UAAACGACUCUCGGCAACGGAUAUCUCGGCUCACGCAUCGAUGAAGAACGUAGCAAAAUGCGAUACUUGGUGUGAAUUGCAGAAUCCCGUGAACCAUCGAGUUUUUGAACGCAAGUUGCGCCCAAAGCCAUUUGGUCGAGGGCACGUCUGCCUGGGCGUCACGC
This 164-nucleotide ribosomal RNA is filed under the name Tripolium pannonicum. Its description in RNAcentral is "5.8S ribosomal RNA". It matches the Rfam family "5.8S ribosomal RNA". Rfam says of the family: 5.8S ribosomal RNA (5.8S rRNA) is a component of the large subunit of the eukaryotic ribosome. It is transcribed by RNA polymerase I as part of the 45S precursor that also contains 18S and 28S rRNA. Functionally, it is thought that 5.8S rRNA may be involved in ribosome translocation. Lineage: Eukaryota; Viridiplantae; Streptophyta; Magnoliopsida; Asterales; Asteraceae. RNAcentral also lists the same sequence under 2 other names. The record is from RNAcentral.